This 72-nucleotide transfer RNA is filed under the name Marmota monax (woodchuck). RNAcentral's name for it is "tRNA.Ala". Lineage: Eukaryota; Metazoa; Chordata; Mammalia; Rodentia; Sciuridae. The record is from RNAcentral.
GCAGGGAUGUGGCUCAGUGGUACAGGGCUUGCCUAGCAUGCAUAAGGCCUGGGUUCAAUUCCCAACACUGCA